This 468-nucleotide ribosomal RNA is filed under the name uncultured bacterium. Its description in RNAcentral is "partial 16S ribosomal RNA". It matches the Rfam family "Bacterial small subunit ribosomal RNA", at positions 28 to 507 of the family's 1533-position model. The record is from RNAcentral.
GACGAACGCUGGCGGCGGGCUUAACACAUGCAAGUCGAACGGAAAGGCCCUGCUUUUGUGGGGUGCUCGAGUGGCGAACGGGUGAGUAACACGUGAGUAACCUGCCCUUGACUUUGGGAUAACUUCAGGAAACUGGGGCUAAUACCGGAUAGGAUCUCCUGCUGCAUUGUGGGGGUUGGAAAGUUUCGGCGGUUGGGGAUGGACUCGCGGCUUAUCAGCUUGUUGGUGGGGUAGUGGCUUACCAAGGCGUUGACGGGUAGCCGGCCUGAGAGGGUGACCGGCCACAUUGGGACUGAGAUACGGCCCAGACUCCUACGGGAGGCAGCAGUGGGGAAUAUUGCACAAUGGGCGCACGCCUGAUGCAGACACGCCGCGUGCGGGAUGACGGCCUUCGGGUUGUAAACCGCUUUCGCCUGUGACGCAGCGUGAGUGACGGUACUGGGUAAAGAAGCACCGGCUAACUACGUG